UGUGGGAGCGAGCUUGCUCGCGAAAGCGGUGUGUCAGGUACCAAUACUUCAACUGACCCUACGCAUUCGCGAGCAAGCUCGCUCCCACA
RNAcentral lists this unclassified non-coding RNA (89 nucleotides) under Pseudomonas sp. ok266. Lineage: Bacteria; Pseudomonadati; Pseudomonadota; Gammaproteobacteria; Pseudomonadales; Pseudomonadaceae. The record is from RNAcentral.